This 446-nucleotide ribosomal RNA is filed under the name uncultured bacterium. RNAcentral's name for it is "bacterial SSU rRNA". It matches the Rfam family "Bacterial small subunit ribosomal RNA", at positions 329 to 792 of the family's 1533-position model. The record is from RNAcentral.
GGCCAGACUCCUACGGGAGGCAGCAGUGGGGAAUAUUGCACAAUGGGGGGAACCCUGAUGCAGCGACGCCGCGUGGGUGAAGGAGCACCUCGGUGCGUAAAGCCCUAUCGGCAGGGAAGAAACAGACGGUACCUGACUAAGAAGCCCCGGCUAACUACGUGCCAGCAGCCGCGGUAAUACGUAGGGGGCAAGCGUUAUCCGGAUUUACUGGGUGUAAAGGGAGCGUAGACGGCGAUGCAAGUCUGAAGUGAAAGGCGGGGGCCCAACCCCCGGACUGCUUUGGAAACUGUAUGGCUGGAGUGCAGGAGAGGUAAGUGGAAUUCCUAGUGUAGCGGUGAAAUGCGUAGAUAUUAGGAGGAACACCAGUGGCGAAGGCGGCUUACUGGACUGUAACUGACGUUGAGGCUCGAAAGCGUGGGGAGCAAACAGGAUUAGAUACCCCUGUA